UUGUAGCUCCCAUAAUCCCCACGUGUCAUGGCUGUGCUUGCCACUGAAUUUGAGAGAAGUCUCCAAAUUAUUGAAUCAGAGGCUUCCCCUUCCCUCAGAAUCCCUCAUUUUCCAAUGAUAAAAAGUCUACCAAUUGUUCAAACCAAACACAAAUGACAACUUCUCAAGAAGCUUUACCAGAUCCCCCAGGUCCUAAUUACCCCUUUCCAUUUUUUAGCAUAAGAUCUUACAUGUACCUUUACUGAACCCUUAUUUCCUUCUACUUUAUAGUAUAGAAACAUUAAAGAGCUUCUGCACAGCAAAAGAAACUAUCAAUGGAGUAAACAGACAACCUACAGAAUGGGAGUAAACUUUUGCAAACUACACAUUUGACAAAGGUCUAAUAUCUAGCACCUCUAAGGAACUUAAACAAAUUUACAAGAAAAAAACAAACCCAUUAAAACGUGGGCAAAGGACAUGAACAGACAUUUUUCAAAAGACCUACA
This 485-nucleotide long non-coding RNA is filed under the name Homo sapiens (human). Its description in RNAcentral is "non-protein coding lnc-MZT1-3:1". The record is from RNAcentral. Lineage: Eukaryota; Metazoa; Chordata; Mammalia; Primates; Hominidae.